RNAcentral lists this ribosomal RNA (316 nucleotides) under Calamus longisetus. RNAcentral's name for it is "eukaryotic LSU rRNA". It matches the Rfam family "Eukaryotic large subunit ribosomal RNA", at positions 1 to 315 of the family's 3401-position model. Lineage: Eukaryota; Viridiplantae; Streptophyta; Magnoliopsida; Arecales; Arecaceae. The record is from RNAcentral.
CGACCCCAGGUCAGGCGGGGCCACCCGCCGAGCUUAAGCAUAUCAAUAAGCGGAGGAGGAGAAACUUACGAGGAUUCCCCUAGUAACGGCGAGCGAACCGGGACCAGCCCAGCUUGAGAAUCGUGCGGCUGCGCCGCUCGAAUUGUAGUCUGGUGAAGCGUCCUCAGCGGCGGACCGGGCCCGAGUCCCCUGGAAAGGGGCGCCCGGGAGGGUGAGAGCCCCGUCCGGCCCGGACCCUGCCGCACCACGAGGCGCUGUCGGCGAGUCGGGCUGUUUGGGAAUGCAGCCCCAAUCGGGCGGUAAAUUCCGUCCAAGA